AUGAAAACAAGCUUGUUUUUCAGGCACAGUUGGGAAAGUAGAAAAAUGAAAAAAAACUCUCUGACUUAGGAGAAAGGAAAAGAAAGAGAGAAAGAAAGGAAGGAAGGAAGGAAGGAAGGAAGGAAGGAAGGAAGCCCUAAGGAAGGAAGGAAGAAAGAAAGAAGAAAGAAAGAAAGACUGUAAGAAAGAAAGAAAGAAAGAAAGAAAGAAAGAAAGAAAGAAAGAAAGAAAGAAAGAAAGAAAGAAAGAAAGAAAGAAAGAAAGAAAGAAAGAAAGAAAGAAAGAAAGAAAGAAAGAAAGAAAGAAAGAAAGAAAGAAAGAAAGAGAGAGAGAAAUUUGCCAUCUCCCCUUUCCAGUCUUGCUGUUCAAGACUUCUGGCCAAGCUUCCCUCUGUGUCUUGGGAGAGAGAAGGAUGAAGAUUCCAGCCCUCCUUGCUUUUUCCUUCCUGAGAGGUGGCUCUGGAAGCAGCUUGCUGAGCUUUUCGGCAUCUUGGUGUGGAAGAAGAUAUUGUCUGGGUUUGGCAGUGAGUUUUCCUUGAUACUAUACUGGGAGAAGCUUAGUAGCCUAGUUCAGGUGAGGCAUCUUCACUGAGCUCUCUGAGUUUAGGCUGAUUGUUUUCUCCUUUACCUUCCAAACACUAUUCUCUUAGGAAAGCCUCUAAUCUUCUUCAAAGACUUCAUGGUGGAGGUCUUUGAACUCCCCCUGGCAAAGGCCAGGCGGGAGAAAUCCUAUACUCUCUCUCUCUCUCUCUCUCUCUCUCUCUCUCUCUCUCUCUCUCUCUCUCUCUCUCUCUCUCUCUCUCUCCUUAAUUCCUUCCCUCUAUAUUAAUUAAAAUCACCAUAAAUUUCCAUACUGCCUUGGGUAUUUUAUUUGGGAUUUUCUCUGGUGACCAAAUUAAUUUAGAUUAAGUCACAAUCCUAAAAUUACCCUUACACUAUUUGAGUUUGACAUCAUUCAUUCAGAUGAUGUGAAUGGUCUUUUCCAGCACCAAAAUGAUAUGAUGCAAAGGCAUCAAAAAUUCAAUCAAUCAACCAAUCAACAUUUAUUAUUAAGCAUCUAUUAUAUACCAAGCUAGUGAUAGAAAGACAAAAACAAAAGAGUCCUUGUUCUCAAAGAGCUUAUAUUCUACAUGAGAGAAGCGUGGGUACACAUAGAAGCAAAAACAGGC
Molecule: long non-coding RNA, 1168 nt
Filed under: Monodelphis domestica (gray short-tailed opossum)
Lineage: Eukaryota; Metazoa; Chordata; Mammalia; Didelphimorphia; Didelphidae
Description: lncRNA (ENSMODG00000040140.1)
Source: RNAcentral